This 753-nucleotide long non-coding RNA is filed under the name Pan paniscus (pygmy chimpanzee). RNAcentral's name for it is "lncRNA (ENSPPAG00000045047.1)". The record is from RNAcentral. Lineage: Eukaryota; Metazoa; Chordata; Mammalia; Primates; Hominidae.
CUUUCACUCUCUAUUGUACCUAAGAUAUACCUCCCUGUACUCUUCAGGCACGUUCAAACCCCCACCCAUCUUGCAAUUGCUAACAGAAACUCAGCUGCUUUCAAGACAACUUUCCCUGUUCCUAAUAACUUCAGGUGAACUUCUGCUGAAUUCUGCUGUCAUUCCUUCCUUCUGCUAUGUGUCAUUAUGGAAGCUGUAGGACAUGAAGCCGGAAAUCCCAGAAUCUGAGUCUUUGAGUAUGCUCAGCGCGAGCCAUCAUGGGGCCAUGUUCUUCCCCUUUGCUCUUGGAGAAUAGACAAAGCUACCCAGCCCAGCCACAGCCUCAUAAUCUUGUUCUACCUCCCUCUCCAGCCUCAAAUAUUUCCAGGCUCCAGCUCAAGUCAUACAUCAGCCCAGCUGCCAAUGUUGCUGACCAGCAAGCCCUCAGCCUACAAGGUCUCCAUCCAGGUGCCUUUUGAUGAGGUUCCAGCUUUCAGAAAAAAAUGACCUUGAAGGCCAGGAUGACAGGAACAAAUUCCAAAGCUAAUGGAUGACCCUUGAGUCCUCCACUGGCCAGAGAAAGGGACUCUCAGAGCCUUAAUUUAAUAGCUCCAGCUUGCAUUCACUAAAGCCUCAAGCAGCUACAACAGAUGUCUCAAGAUUUCCAAAAAGAGCUGUUGGUAAAUCUGAUCUAUCCACUGACGUAAUUAUGCUCAUUCUAGCAAAGAAAAACAUAUAUUUGUUUCAAAGAACGUCCAUCAGGGAGUGUGCAGC